CAGGAAAGCCAGGCUGGGCACUGUCCUCGCUGCCCACCCACUGUGCCCAGCCUUGGUAGCUCCUGCAUGGUCCCUCUGCCUGUUAUCUUCACAGUGCCACUGCAGCACAUCCCCCUUCCUGUCACUCACUACACUGCCUGCUGUGGAAUGGGCAUCAGCAGAACAUUUAAAUGCCCAAGACCGAGGCAAGGACAACAAAAUAAAGAAUUUCCAAGAACAUCCACUAUGCCACCAGAAGUCACCAGCCAGGGUCUAGAACCCUGCAUGACAGAGAGAACCAGAAAACAAAAAGGGUCCAGGAGACUAGACCAAACAGCACCUUCCACGAGGAUUCCUCAGCUGUGACUCUGGGACAGACCCAGCUAACCCUGAGAGUUGCCCCGGUGUGUGUCUGUGUGUGUGUGUGUGUUUGUGUGCGUACACAUGCACACAUGCACUCGUGAACUCCCUGCUCAGUGCACGCCCUCUCCAAGGUUCACAGUGGGUCCUUUGUUUUUUUGAGAUAGAGUCUCACUAUGUAGUCCAGGCUGGCCUUGAACUCACAGUGAUCCCACUACCUCAGCCUCCUGCAUGCUGGGAUUAUAAGCAUGUGGCACCAUGCCAGCC
Molecule: long non-coding RNA, 606 nt
Filed under: Fukomys damarensis (Damara mole-rat)
Lineage: Eukaryota; Metazoa; Chordata; Mammalia; Rodentia; Bathyergidae
Description: lncRNA (ENSFDAG00000022332.1)
Source: RNAcentral